AUGGCCGGAGCGGGCCGCCGCCGCGUGGUGUUCUUCCCGUUCCCGUUCCUGGGCCACUUCAACCCGGUGCUCCGCCUCGCGGGCGCGCUGCACGCCCGCGGCCUCGCGGUCACCGUUUUCCACACCGAGCAGCGGGUGCCGGACCCGGCCGACUACCCCGCGGGCUACCGCUUCGUGCCCCUCCCCGUGGAGGUGCCCCCGGAGCUGGCGGCGUCCGAGGACAUCGCCAGGAUGGGCAUGGCCAUGAACGACGCCGCCGAGGCCCCGUUCAGGGACCGGCUGGCCGCGCUGCUCGCCGAGGAGGCGGGGGAGGACGGCGGCGUCCUCUGCGUCAUCACCGACGUCGUCUGGUACUCGGCGCAGGCCGUGGCCAGGGAGCUCGGCGUGCCGGCGCUGGGGAUCAUGACCGCCAGCGCCGCCAUCUUCCGGGUCUACAUGGCGUACCAGACCUUGAUUGACAAGGCCUACUUGCCCGUGCAAGAUGCGCGCAAGGACGAUCCGGUGGAGGAGCUGCCGCCGUACCUUGUGAAGGAUCUGCUGCGGCACGACACGAGCAAGCUGGAGGAUUUCGCCGAGCUGCUCCGGCACAGCGUCGCCGGGGCGCGGCAGUCCUCGGGCCUCAUAAUCAACACCCUGGGCGCCAUCGAGGCCGCCAACCUGGAGCGGAUCCGCGAGGACCUGUCGGUCCCGGUGUUCGCCGUCGCGCCUCUCCACAAGCUGGCGCCGUCGGCCAAGUCCACCAGCCUGGGCGAGACGCAGGCGGACCGCGGAUGCCUCGGCUGGCUGGACACCCAGAAGCCCGGCAGCGUGCUGUACGUGAGCUUCGGGAGCCUGGCCGCCAUGGACCCGCACGAGUUCGUGGAGCUGGCGUGGGGGCUGGCGCUGAGCAAGCGGCCGUUCGUGUGGGUCGUCCGGCCCAAGCUCAUCCGCGGGUUCGAGUCCGGCGAGCUGCCCGACGGGCUCGGGGAGGAGCUGCGCGGGCGCGGCAUGAUCGUGAGCUGGGCGCCGCAGGAGGAGGUGCUGGCGCACCCGGCGGUGGGCGCCUUCUUCACCCACAGCGGCUGGAACUCCACGGUGGAGGCGAUCGCGGAGGGCGUGCCGAUGAUCUGCCACCCGCUGCACGGCGACCAGUACGGCAACGCCAGGUACGUGGCCGACGUCUGGAGGGUGGGCGUGGAGGUCGACGGCUCGCACCGGCUGGAGAGAGGGAGGAUCAAGGCCGCCAUUGAGAGGAUGAUGGAGAGCGGAGAGGGGCGGGAGAUCAGGGAGAGGAUGAAGGGGCUGAAGAUGGCCGCGGAGGAUGGCAUCAACGAGCGUGGGUCGUCCCACACGCAUCUCAGUGAUUUGGUUGCUCUCAUCAACUCGUUCUGA
Molecule: ribosomal RNA, 1371 nt
Filed under: Triticum aestivum (bread wheat)
Lineage: Eukaryota; Viridiplantae; Streptophyta; Magnoliopsida; Poales; Poaceae
Description: partial small subunit ribosomal RNA
Source: RNAcentral